This 145-nucleotide unclassified non-coding RNA is filed under the name uncultured Ascomycota. RNAcentral's name for it is "sequence contains ITS2". Lineage: Eukaryota; Fungi; Ascomycota. The record is from RNAcentral.
CAACCCUCAAGCUCUGCUUGGUAUUGGGCUCCGUCUACUGCUGACGGGCCUUAAAAUCAGUGGCGGUGCCAUUAGGCUCUAAGCGUAGUAAUUUUUCUCGCUAUGGACGUCUCCUGGAUACUUGCCAGCAACCCCAAAUUUUAAA